GAAUUUUAUAUAAAUUUGUUAAAUAUUUUAGAUUUAAAUUUGAGUAAAAAAUUUAUAUUUAGUUGGGAGGAUGAUUAAAUUAUAAAAACUUUAAUUAAUAUUAGGAUAUUGAUAAAUAAUAAAAAAGAGUUAUUUAUAAAUUGUAAAAGAGUUAAUUACCUUAGGGAUAACAGCGUAAUAUUUUUGAAGAGUUCAUAUUGAUAAAAAUGUUUGC
RNAcentral lists this ribosomal RNA (214 nucleotides) under Octostruma balzani. RNAcentral describes it as "partial large subunit ribosomal RNA". Lineage: Eukaryota; Metazoa; Arthropoda; Insecta; Hymenoptera; Formicidae. The record is from RNAcentral.